Non-coding RNA from Pelobates cultripes (western spadefoot toad), 334 nucleotides. The record is from the annotation of a GenBank genome assembly. Lineage: Eukaryota; Metazoa; Chordata; Amphibia; Anura; Pelobatidae.
CACCAUGUAAACAUUCACAGUGCAGGUGGAAAAAGUAUGUGAACCCCUAGACUAAUGACAUCUCCAAGAGCUAAUUGGAGUGAGAUGUCAGCCAACUGGAGUCCAAUCAAUGAGAUGAGAUGUUGUUCCCAGCUGAUCGACGGACUGGUAAGGUAAGUAUAGGAUUCCUUACAGUCUGCCUAUAACUGAGUGUGUAUGUGUGUGACUGUCUGUCUGUAACUGUGUGUGACUGUCUGCCUGUAACUCUAUGUGAAUCUUUGUGACAGUAUGCCUGUAACUAAGUGUGUGUGACCGUCUGCCUGUAAUUGAGCGUGUGUGACUUUCUGCCUGUAAC